UUGCCUUGCCUUGCCUUGCCUUGCCUUGCCUUGCCUUGCCUUGCCUUGCCUUGCCUUGCCGUUCCCCUUCCCCUUCCCCUUCCCCUUCCUCUCUCCCCAUCCUGCAGGGAAGCAGGAGCUCAGUUCCCAGACCCCACAUCCCCACAGGCACAGAAGAGGGGAGAGCCCCUUUGCCCACAUCUUUUUCUCUCUGAAUUUCUUGCUCGCAGCACCACGGAUCCCCCCUAAGCUUCACUCCUGCAUUGGGAAGCGGUGUUUAAAUGGGAAUUUCUGUCUUUCCUUUGCCUGCCAGAGUGGGUGGGUGGGUGUGCGAGGCGGCUGGAAGGGUGUUUUCCUUUUGCUUUGCAGUCUCAUUGGGCCGCUAUAUUUAGCCCGCUUUCUAAUUUUCUGAGCUUAAUUAAUGAGCUGAAAUUUUCACUCCAGCAGCUCAGGAAGCUCAGCCUGGCCACUGAGCAGGCAGAAGCGGCCGCUGACCUGCACACAACCUGACCUGCAGCAGAGGUGCAUGGCACCCACAUCCCCAGCGCUGCAGGGGCUGCCCAGCGCGCGUCAUCCCUGGCUGACGUUGGCACCAACUGCGAUGCGGUGCCACUGGGGCGUGUGACAUCAGAGCCCAAAUGCACCCGUUCAGAUUUCACUCUGCUUUACCUCUCCCAAGCCUUCUCCUGUUGCACGUGCCCUGUGCUGGGUACACGUGGUCCCAGUUCGCCCUGACACACAGCCCGUGGUCUUCUCUCUAAUCACAUAAAAAGGUUUCAGAGGCUGUAAAUCCUUCAGGUUUUAAGCCCCUUUUCAGCCCCGGUUGCCACCUGGCCGCUGGCCAAAUGGCUUGGCUGGUUUUCCUUUGGAUGCGCCAGACGCACUUGGAGCAGCUCGGAGUGCACCCUGCCCGCUCAUCCCCAGUACAUGGGUGACUCUUUAAUGUCUAAUGCAAUGCUGCCCAACCCACUGCCCAUCGCACGGCAUGCUCAGGGCUGCGCUUUCCCGUGCCACCUCCAGUACCCACGGGGCUGGUGCUGCGGAGCCCGGACCUGCCUGAUGAGCUCUGGCAGAUGUGCGCCUGGCUGUCCAGAUGUGUUAGUGCUGAAUGGGUGCACGUCUGCCAGAUGUGCCCCCGCACCUCCCAGCUCCACGCUCGAACACUGCAUUUUGAGCUUGGUCUCCUCCAAGCCCCAACCUGGACUUCAUUCCUCCCCGGUACCUAUGUGGCCAUUUACACUGGUGUGA
This 1227-nucleotide long non-coding RNA is filed under the name Numida meleagris (helmeted guineafowl). RNAcentral describes it as "lncRNA (ENSNMEG00000005052.1)". The record is from RNAcentral. Lineage: Eukaryota; Metazoa; Chordata; Aves; Galliformes; Numididae.